AAAAAUUUUUUUGACAUUUUUUGGGCAAUGUGGAAUUUUUUGGGCAAAAAAGCUACCGCCCCCCCCAGAAUUUAGCGGCCCCGUACGCCUAUGAUUGUGGGCAGCGGGAUUGGGAGGGAACGGAAGUUGUAUCCUUAGGAGUAGAAUCGUUAUUGCCUAUUGGGGUGCUUAAGCCUGCCGCACACGAGAGCUAUCUGCUGAGCCAAAAGUUACUCGUGCCUGUUAGCUCAGCUGAUAGCUCAGCGAUCAAACAUGUUUGAUACGUGAGAAAAGGUUGCAUGAGGCAAAAAACUCAGUAAAAUGUACCCGCACACGGUGAGCUAUCGGCUGAGCUAACAGGCACGAGUAACUUUUUGCUCAGCAGAUAGCUCUCGUGUGCGGCAGGCUUAAGCUGAACGCAAACAUGCGUAAAAUAUUGACAAGGGUGCAUAUAUUAAAUAUUGACUUAUUAAGAAAUUAAAAUAUCUUUGUAAAGCGCACGAUUUUCUGCUCUUGGGAAUUUAAAACAGUUUCUUAAACGGUUUCUUUAUGCAUAAAAUUUACUUAUGUCAUGCUUUUAUGCACUUGUGAGUUCAGCAUACAGGGUGAGUAAAAAAAAAAACUGAC
Non-coding RNA from Paramuricea clavata, 606 nucleotides. The record is from the annotation of a GenBank genome assembly. Lineage: Eukaryota; Metazoa; Cnidaria; Anthozoa; Malacalcyonacea; Plexauridae.